GGACCCGCACAAGUAGUGGAGCAUGUGGUUUAAUUCGAAGAUACGCGCAGAACCUUACCAACACUUGACAUGUUCGUCGCGACUUUAAGAGAUUAAAGUUUUCGGUUCGGCCGGACGAAACACAGGUGCUGCAUGGCUGUCGUCAGCUCGUGUCGUGAGAUGUUGGUUAAGUCCCGCAACGAGCGCAACCCUCACUUUUAGUUGCCAUCAUUAAGUUGGGCACUCUGAAAGAACUGCCAGUGAUAAGCUGGAGGAAGGUGGGGAUGACGUCAAGUCCUCAUGGCCCUUACGUGUUGGGCUACACACGUGCUACAAUGGCAUUUACAAUAGGAAGCAAGAUGGCGACAUCAAGCA
RNAcentral lists this ribosomal RNA (354 nucleotides) under uncultured bacterium. RNAcentral describes it as "bacterial SSU rRNA". It matches the Rfam family "Bacterial small subunit ribosomal RNA", at positions 917 to 1269 of the family's 1533-position model. The record is from RNAcentral.